This is a long non-coding RNA of Amyelois transitella, 2267 nucleotides long. RefSeq lists it as uncharacterized. The transcript has 3 exons. The record is from RefSeq and is a predicted model, not a curated record. Lineage: Eukaryota; Metazoa; Arthropoda; Insecta; Lepidoptera; Pyralidae.
UUAAACGUGAUUCGAGUCCCAUCACUAUGAAAUCAUGUCUAAAAUAAAACCCUAAAAAGCGACUUGCGAAGAGUUCUCUUUACUAUGUAAUAAAUUUGAUAAGAAAAAAAGAGAUGUGAUUUUCUAUCAAAAACAAGAGUGUUUACGUGAAAUAUCUGAGUGCAUUGGUAACAUGGAUGAUGUCAGGGACGGGAACUCGGAUAUGUGUGGAUGUUGAAGAGACAAACCUCUUUAGAGUUUAAGAGGGUUUUUCUUCUAAUUUCAUCUUUGAUUUGAUUCUAUUUUUUGAUAGAUUUUGUUUUAACAUUCAUGUCAUGUCUCUGCCUCUCAUCCUAUAUGUAACUUAAAAUAAAAUAACUUUUAUUUUAUUGAGUGCUCCGUUCUUUCAAUUAAACCACUACUCUGCUUAAUUAGUAUAUCUUUCCAAACCUAGAGGUAUACUAAUAGGUUAUGGACCGCAAAAACGAUGGACGGACACGGAGAUCAAGUUCAUGGAUUAUGUUAUAUUAUAUGAUAUUGGGUCACUUAUGUACUUUACAUUAUGUACAGUUUGCACAAGGCCGGAUAUUAGUUAUGCAGUAACUAAUCUAAGCCAGUUAAACAGCUGUUACACGGAGUAACAUUAGGUAGCUGCUAAAAGAGAGCUGAGGUACUUAAAAUGUACAAAGAGCUUUGGUCUUAGAUACGAGUCAUCUGAUACAGCCAAAGUUGUUAGUUAUGCAGAUGCAAGCCACGGAUCUACCUAUGAUCGAAAGUCAUUUGGUGGAGUAGUGUUCAAAUGGACAGGAGCUGCAAUCUCAUGGGAAUGCAAAAAGCAAAGGACUGUUGCGCUCUCAACUGCGGAAGCUGAGUAUGUGGCUCUAUCUGAAGCAGCUAGAGAGGCAAUAUUUCUAAGAAGAUUCAUAACUCAUAGCAUCUACUCUGGAACCAAUGACAGUCUACAGUGAUAGUCAGUCUGCUGUUGCAAUUGCACAAAAUCCUGUGCAUCAUCAACAUACUAAACAUAUUGAUGUGCGCCACCAUUUUAUAAAAGAAGCAGUUGAGGAUGGUAUUAUUCAGCUUGAGUAUGUAGAGACAGCUUGUAUGGCAGCUGAUGCGUUGACCAAACCUCUGGCGAAUGGUCAAGACUAUGUCAAAUUGUCAAGUCAGUUCAAUGUAUGCGCAUUGCGCUAGUGUCGCACGCUACAAGACAGCGUGAGAGACCUUAGCCCAACUUAACACGCGGGGGCGAGAAGGAGGAAAGAAGCUGUAGUAUAUACAUAAGUUACGUUGACUUUUUAGGGCUUACCUUGCAUCCUAUUUUGAAUAUAAAUCUAUUUCUAAAAAAAGAUUUACGGACAUAAAUAAUGCAUUUUUGUUUUAUUUUCAUAACUAGCUAUAAUACCCGGCUUCGCCCGGGAGUUGAUAUAAGAUUACACGGUAGGUGAAAUAAAAAAAAAAACUUUGACGCGAUAUUAAAAAAAAUUAUUGAAAACAUUCGCUCAUUGUUUACACUAUUUGCUUAUAAACAACAUUUUUCAUUUUAUUGUCUGGAGUAUUAUAUAAUAUAGAUUUUUCGGAAUUCCUACCCUUGAGCAAGCUACAUAUAGCUGACCGUGAGAGAAGCAGGGUUCUUUGAGGUUAAUGCCACAAUAUUUUAAAGUUUGUCUUUGCGCCUUGUUAAUUGUAAAACUAAAAGCUAAUUUAAUUGGAAAUUGCAGUCUUUUAAAUUGAAAUGACAAUAGGACAGUAAUCGAAAAAAAAUCUAAGUUGUGUUUUAAAAUAAAGUUUGUUAUACAAGAACAUCACUAAAUAAAUAUUUUUAAAAAAUAACAAUGAUUUAUAAUUUUAAAUCAAUAAAUAAAGUUGCAUAAAUCCAAUAUUUUUUAUCUGUGCAGCGUAAGAACCCAAACACCAAUCACAGUGGGUGACGUCAUACGUAAUGAGUGAUAAGUAAACAACACUGCUUUGUAUGUUAUUUCGAGUUAUUCUACGAUUUAUUUGCAUUUUUCAAAAAAUAUUUAAUUGUAAUUAGUUACGAAUUGAAGGACUUUAUUCAUAACAGAAGUUGUCGCAAGUGCUUGAAGCCGCCUAUUAAGUUUUUAUCAUGGAACAAGGUUACAAGCCGACAAUAGAAAUCUCCCAUAAGAUUGAUAUUUUCAUGGUCGGCAGUUUCUUUGCCACUAAUUCCGACUUAGUAUUGCUGAAUUUAGAAAUGUGAAAACAUUUAUGUAAGUAUUUCGACCUCUUUUUGUUUAUCUUAACAACAGAAAUGAUUGAAGAAAAAA